RNAcentral lists this ribosomal RNA (773 nucleotides) under uncultured Neocallimastigales. Its description in RNAcentral is "partial large subunit ribosomal RNA". It matches the Rfam family "Eukaryotic large subunit ribosomal RNA", at positions 23 to 621 of the family's 3401-position model. The record is from RNAcentral. Lineage: Eukaryota; Fungi; Neocallimastigomycota; Neocallimastigomycetes; Neocallimastigales.
AGACUCUGUGCGCGUGCAUAUCAAUAAGCGGAGGAAAAGAAACUAACAAGGAUUCCCUUAGUAACGGCGAGUGAAGCGGGAAGAGCUCAAAUUUGAAAUCUUCAAGGUUCUACCUUGACGAAUUGUAGUUUAUAGAAGUGUUUUCUGUUAGUGGAGUGGCAAAAGUUCUUUGGAAUAGGACAUCAUAGAGGGUGAGAAUCCCGUAUUUGGUCAUUCCUCCUAGCGUUGUGAUACACUUUCAACGAGUCGGAUUGUUUGGGAAUGCAGUCCAAAAUGGGUGGUAAAUUUCAUCUAAAGCUAAAUAUUGGCGAGAGACCGAUAGCGAACAAGUACCGUGAGGGAAAGAUGAAAAGAACUUUGAAAAGAGAGUUAAACAGUACGUGAAAUUGUCAAAAGGGAAGCGUUUGACACCAGUGUUGUUUUUCCGAAAAUCAAUUACGAAUGUUUUGUUUUUAAGGAGUUAUGACUUCAUCGGCUUGCUUCUUUCUUUAUGAAACUUUCUUAAUGCACUUUUCGGUUAACAAGUCAACAUCAAUUUCUUUUGUUGUAAAAGGGUAUGAGGAAGGUGGCUUUCUUUUCGGAGAAAGUGUUUAUAGCCUUGUGCCUCUGCAAUCGGAGAGAUUGAGGUCUGCAGCGUAGAUCCUUCGGGGUUAGAUACGUUUGUGCUAAGUUAUAGCUUUUCAUAGACAACUUGUUGACUAUGUUUAGUCUUGUAGCUUACUCGCUGACGCUAUUUUACCUACGCUUAGGAUGUUGAACUCUAUCACACACAG